Molecule: small RNA, 327 nt
Filed under: Drosophila mojavensis
Lineage: Eukaryota; Metazoa; Arthropoda; Insecta; Diptera; Drosophilidae
Description: GI26703
Source: RNAcentral
AGAAAAAUGAAUUUCUUCCACUUCUUAAAAGAUUUCACUGUCCUGAAGAAAAUAAUGAGAGAAGACCAUGAGAUGGUACUACGAUGAAGAUCAGGCUGACGAAGUACCAUUUUCAAUUGGAGCAUUAUUUGAUCGGCUCUAAGAGCUUGAUAGAGCUAUCCAAAGACGAGCCUUAGUUAAAGAGCAACGUCUUUAGGCUGUUAAUUUGGAAUGCUACCAAAAGGAAUAUAUUAAACAGAUCAGCGGCGUACCAAAAAUGGAAUUCUGAAAUUUUUAUUGUACAACCCAAACUUCUUGAAUAAAACUGCAUAAAAUGUGUUUAUUAUA